UAGCUAAUGUUGUGUACCGCAUA
This 23-nucleotide non-coding RNA is filed under the name Arabidopsis thaliana (thale cress). Lineage: Eukaryota; Viridiplantae; Streptophyta; Magnoliopsida; Brassicales; Brassicaceae. The record is from RNAcentral.